Canis lupus familiaris (dog) is the source of this 748-nucleotide long non-coding RNA. RefSeq lists it as uncharacterized. The record is from RefSeq and is a predicted model, not a curated record. The transcript is spliced from 5 exons. Lineage: Eukaryota; Metazoa; Chordata; Mammalia; Carnivora; Canidae.
UCCUUGAAGCAAAUAGUGAACCUCAACUGAUCAUUCCAUUAUUCAGUCCUUCAUAUCAACAGACUCCUAUUAAGCAUUUUAUCCGUUCUUCAGUUUUGUCUGAAACUUUGACGGAGACAGCUUCUGCAUCUGCUAACCCUAUGCUACAAGGGCUCACCUUCCUAAGCAGAACCUUAAGAUGAAAGCAGCAGCUUUGGUUUUACCCGUCAUUGAGUCUACUGCUCUGCUGCAAUUCAAAAGCUGGUAUUCUUAAGGGAAGCUCCUUUUGAAGGCAUCCAGUAGCAAUGAUGGCAUAAAAUAUGGGGCACUGCAGAUGCCAUUUAGAAAAACUUCUUCAAUUCAAUGUGGACCACCAUGGCUAAAUGAAGUUCAAAUAACGUUCUCUCUGAAUUUCCAGUUGGAUAACAAGAGUUGACAUAUGUUAAUACAAAGCAAAUGUGCUUUCUUGUUCUCUCCUUCUCUAGUACUGUUCUCUUUAUUUUUCUUUCUCUCUCUCGCUCCCUUUCACUCUCUCUUUCUCUUUCAAUCUCUCCCUCCCUCUACCUUUCCCCCCUCACACAAACAGCAUACCAAUACAUGAGACAGACAGAGAGAAAUACCAUCAGUUAAUGGAUGCAUUGCUAGAACAGAAAUCAAGCCAAGCCUAUCAAACCUGUACAUAAACACCAAGUGCCACAAAACAAGAGAUCCCUUCUCUUUAAUAUGUUUGGAUGCAUCACCUAUGAGCUGUGUUAAAAAAUAAAAUGGC